Molecule: ribosomal RNA, 120 nt
Filed under: uncultured bacterium
Lineage: Bacteria
Description: partial 16S ribosomal RNA
Rfam family: Bacterial small subunit ribosomal RNA
Source: RNAcentral
UUGCUCGAGGAGGCGGUUGCGGCCUAUCAGCUAGUUGGUGGUGUAAUAGACCACCAAGGCGACGACGGGUAGCGGGCCUGAGAGGGUGGCCCGUCACACUGGGACUGAGACACUGCCCAG